GAAGGUAUAGCUCAGUGGCAGAGUGCAUGCCUAGCAUGCAUCGGGUCCUGGGUUUAAUUCCUAGUAUCUCCA
This 72-nucleotide transfer RNA is filed under the name Camelus bactrianus (Bactrian camel). It matches the Rfam family "tRNA". Rfam says of the family: Transfer RNA (tRNA) molecules are approximately 80 nucleotides in length. Their secondary structure includes four short double-helical elements and three loops (D, anti-codon, and T loops). Further hydrogen bonds mediate the characteristic L-shaped molecular structure. tRNAs have two regions of fundamental functional importance: the anti-codon, which is responsible for specific mRNA codon recognition, and the 3' end, to which the tRNAs corresponding amino acid is attached (by aminoacyl-tRNA synthetases). tRNAs cope with the degeneracy of the genetic code in two manners: having more than one tRNA (with a specific anti-codon) for a particular amino acid; and 'wobble' base-pairing, i.e. permitting non-standard base-pairing at the 3rd anti-codon position. Lineage: Eukaryota; Metazoa; Chordata; Mammalia; Artiodactyla; Camelidae. The record is from Rfam by way of RNAcentral. RNAcentral also lists the same sequence under 2 other names.